AAUAGAUACCCAGGUAGUCCACGCCGUAAACGAUGAGUGCUAAGUGUUAGAGGGUCUCCGCCCGUUUAGUGCUGAAGUUAACGCAUUAAGCACUCCGCCUGGGGAGUACGGCCGCAAGGCUGAAACUCAAAGGAAUUGACGGGGGUCCCGCACAAGCGGUGGAGCAUGUGGUUUAAUUCGAAGCAACGCGAAGAACCUUACCAGGUCUUGACAUCCUCUGACAACCCUAGAGAUAGGGCUUCUUCUUCGGGAGCAGAGUGACAGGUGGUGCAUGGUUGUCGUCAGCUCGUGUCGUGAGAUGUUGGGUUAAGUCCCGCAACGAGCGCAACCCUUGAUCUUAGUUGCCAUCAUUAAGUUGGGCACUCUAAGGUGACUGCCGGUGACAAACCGGAGGAAGGUGGGGAUGACGUCAAAUCAUCAUGCCCCUUAUGACCUGGGCUACACACGUGCUACAAUGGACGGUACAAAGAGCUGCAAGACCGCGAGGUGGAGCUAAUCUCAUAAAACCGUUCUCAGUUCGGAUUGUAGG
RNAcentral lists this ribosomal RNA (529 nucleotides) under uncultured bacterium. Its description in RNAcentral is "bacterial SSU rRNA". It matches the Rfam family "Bacterial small subunit ribosomal RNA", at positions 777 to 1304 of the family's 1533-position model. The record is from RNAcentral.